RNAcentral lists this long non-coding RNA (993 nucleotides) under Zonotrichia albicollis (white-throated sparrow). RNAcentral describes it as "lncRNA (ENSZALG00000016176.1)". The record is from RNAcentral. Lineage: Eukaryota; Metazoa; Chordata; Aves; Passeriformes; Passerellidae.
CAGCAAUCUGACACAGCAGCUCUUUGGGGAAUUAAGGCACAAUUCACAAUUGGGGUGAUGGGUUUGUCACGUGGUGCUGAUGCAGUUGUUGCCCUGAAGAGUAAAGCUUGGGUUUCUUUUUCUGCAGAUGCAGUUUCCACAUCGAUGCAAUGGAUGCUGCUGAGGAGGAACCACCUCAGUUUGGUCUUUGUAAACUGCUGCUGCUCAGCCUGCAUGGACAGUUCUGGCAGUGCACUUGAAUAAGGCUGCAAAGUUUUUCUUUUAGCUCAGUCCUUGAGAGGUCCUGCAGAUGCCACUGACAUUCUCCUGGAAGAACCCUCCAUCCUCUUCCUGGUCAGGAAAGGGACACAACUGGGCCCUGGAAGAAUGACUGGAUGGAGGGUGAAGGUGCUGAGAGUGGAGUUGUUCUGUGUUUGAGAGAAAAUGUGGAUGAACAUCCCUUACCCCUUGAUGAUGGAGCACUGUGGUGUCCCUGCCUGCCCUUCACACCAAAUGGGGGAAAGGACACUUGGAGCACCUGUACCGAAAGGGAGAAGGUGAAGAAGCCUGUGAGCAUUCCCUGCCUCCUCUGAUCUUAUGCAGAUUCUAAACACAAGUCUGAACGCAAGCUCGAUGGCAACUCUCUGCUCCGGCUGCCAGGGCUGCAGCUCCAGCCGCUCCUCUCCGUCCUCCACCUUCUUUUUCCAAAGUAACAAAGCCAUUGGAUUUCCUCCCACCCCUUCCCUGCGCCUCCCCUCCCCCUCGCUGGCACCGGGGUUAUUUAUACAGAAUGUGGAAACAAUUUGCAGGAAAGUGAACAAUGUAAGCGGGAGCGAGGGAAGGGAGGCGAGUUUGCAGAGCACGCUGAGAGCCCCAGCGGUGGAACGCUGCUUUUGGGGGAGCACGGGGAGCAGGAUGUUUUCCUUUCUUCCUUCUCCCCUCUCCCACCAUCUCCCUGAGCUCCUUCCAUCCUGCUGGAGUCGAGGCCAAACCAGAGCAACGAGAUCUGAGUGA